UAGCAUAUCAAUAAGCGGAGGAAAAGAAACCAACAGGGAUUGCCCUAGUAACGGCGAGUGAAGCGGCAACAGCUCAAAUUUGAAAUCUGGCCCUCGGGUCCGAGUUGUAAUUUGUAGAGGAUGCUUUUGGUGAGGUACCUUCCGAGUUCCCUGGAACGGGACGCCAUAGAGGGUGAGAGCCCCGUCUGGUUGGAUACCAAACCUCUGUAAAGCUCCUUCGACGAGUCGAGUAGUUUGGGAAUGCUGCUCUAAAUGGGAGGUAUAUGUCUUCUAAAGCUAAAUACCGGCCAGAGACCGAUAGCGCACAAGUAGAGUGAUCGAAAGAUGAAAAGCACUUUGAAAAGAGAGUUAAAAAGUACGUGAAAUUGUUGAAAGGGAAGCGCUUAUGACCAGACUUGGACUUGGUUGAUCAUCCUGGGUUCUCCCUGGUGCACUCUUCCAGUUCAGGCCAGCAUCAGUUCGCUGCGGGGGAUAAAAGUUUUGGGAAUGUGGCUCCCUCGGGAGUGUUAUAGCCCAUUUCAUAAUACCCUGCUCCGGACUGAGGUUCGCGCAUCUGCAAGGAUGCUGGCGUAAUGGUCAUCAGCGACCCGUCUUGAAACACGGACCAAGGAGUCGUCUUCGUAUGCGAGUGUUCGGGUGUUAAACCCCUACGCGUAAUGAAAGUGAACGCAGGUGAGAGCUUCGGCGCAUCAUCGACCGAUCCUGAUGUUCUCGGAUGGAUUUGAGUAAGAGCAUACGGGGCCGGACCCGAAAGAAGGUGAACUAUGCCUGUAUAGGGUGAAGCCAGAGGAAACUCUGGUGGAGGCUCGCAGCGGUUCUGACGUGCAAAUCGAUCGUCAAAUAUGGGCAUGGGGGGCGAAAGACUAAUCGAACCUUCUAGUAGCUGGUUUCCGCG
RNAcentral lists this ribosomal RNA (895 nucleotides) under Calonectria candelabrum. RNAcentral describes it as "LSU rRNA". It matches the Rfam family "Eukaryotic large subunit ribosomal RNA", at positions 36 to 962 of the family's 3401-position model. Lineage: Eukaryota; Fungi; Ascomycota; Sordariomycetes; Hypocreales; Nectriaceae. The record is from RNAcentral.